Molecule: ribosomal RNA, 253 nt
Filed under: uncultured bacterium
Lineage: Bacteria
Description: partial 16S ribosomal RNA
Rfam family: Bacterial small subunit ribosomal RNA
Source: RNAcentral
UACGAGGGGGGCAAGCGUUGUUCGGAUUUAUUGGGCGUAAAGGGUGCGUAGGCGGUUUGGCAAGUCUUAUGUGAAAUCUUCGGGCUCAACCCGAAGUCUGCAUAAGAAACUGCCGGGCUUGAGUAUGGGAGAGGUGAGUGGAAUUCCCGGUGUAGCGGUGAAAUGCGUAGAUAUCGGAAGGAAGACCAGUGGCGAAGGCGGGUCUCUGGACAGUUCCUGACGCUGAGGCACGAAGGCCAGGGGAGCAAACGGG